CCCUUAGAUGUUCUGGGCUGCACGCGCGCUACACUGACGCACGCAACAGGUGCCUGCUCCGAGAGGACUGGGUAAUCAUUUGAGUGUGCGUCGUGAUGGGGAUAGAAUAUUGUAAUUAUUACUCUUCAACGAGGAAUUCCUAGUAAGCGCCAGUCAGCAGCUUGCGCUGAUUACGUCCCUGCCCUUUGUACACACCGCCCGUCGCUCCUACCGAUGGGUGAUCCGGUGAAUGACUCGGACUUCAGCGGCUCCCCUGGGGUGCGCCGGAGAAAGUUUUGUGAACCUUAUCACUUGGAGGAAGGAGAAGUCGUAACA
Molecule: ribosomal RNA, 315 nt
Filed under: uncultured eukaryote
Lineage: Eukaryota
Description: partial 18S ribosomal RNA
Rfam family: Eukaryotic small subunit ribosomal RNA
Source: RNAcentral